Molecule: ribosomal RNA, 366 nt
Filed under: Salmonella enterica
Lineage: Bacteria; Pseudomonadati; Pseudomonadota; Gammaproteobacteria; Enterobacterales; Enterobacteriaceae
Description: partial 23S ribosomal RNA
Source: RNAcentral
GGCUGUUCGCGGCUGUUCGCCAUUUAAAGUGGUACGCGAGCUGGGUUUAGAACGUCGUGAGACAGUUCGGUCCCUAUCUGCCGUGGGCGCUGGAGAACUGAGGGGGGCUGCUCCUAGUACGAGAGGACCGGAGUGGACGCAUCACUGGUGUUCGGGUUGUCAUGCCAAUGGCACUGCCCGGUAGCUAAAUGCGGAAGAGAUAAGUGCUGAAAGCAUCUAAGCACGAAACUUGCCCCGAGAUGAGUUCUCCCUGAGACUUWRAGUCUCCUGAAGGAACGUUGAAGACGACGACGUUGAUAGGCCGGGUGUGUAAGCGCAGCGAUGCGUUGAGCUAACCGGUACUAAUGAACCGUGAGGCUUAACCUU